UAGCUCAGUUGGUUAGAGCAGGGAACUCAUAAUUCCUUGGUCGCGGGUUCAAGUCCUGCCCGGCCUA
This 67-nucleotide transfer RNA is filed under the name Planctomycetaceae bacterium. RNAcentral describes it as "tRNA-Met". It matches the Rfam family "tRNA". Rfam says of the family: Transfer RNA (tRNA) molecules are approximately 80 nucleotides in length. Their secondary structure includes four short double-helical elements and three loops (D, anti-codon, and T loops). The record is from RNAcentral. Lineage: Bacteria; Pseudomonadati; Planctomycetota; Planctomycetia; Planctomycetales; Planctomycetaceae.